RNAcentral lists this transfer RNA (83 nucleotides) under Schistocephalus solidus. It matches the Rfam family "tRNA". Rfam says of the family: Transfer RNA (tRNA) molecules are approximately 80 nucleotides in length. Their secondary structure includes four short double-helical elements and three loops (D, anti-codon, and T loops). Further hydrogen bonds mediate the characteristic L-shaped molecular structure. tRNAs have two regions of fundamental functional importance: the anti-codon, which is responsible for specific mRNA codon recognition, and the 3' end, to which the tRNAs corresponding amino acid is attached (by aminoacyl-tRNA synthetases). tRNAs cope with the degeneracy of the genetic code in two manners: having more than one tRNA (with a specific anti-codon) for a particular amino acid; and 'wobble' base-pairing, i.e. permitting non-standard base-pairing at the 3rd anti-codon position. The record is from Rfam by way of RNAcentral. Lineage: Eukaryota; Metazoa; Platyhelminthes; Cestoda; Diphyllobothriidea; Diphyllobothriidae.
GGUCUCGUAGCUCAGGUGGCUAGAGCGUUGGCGGAACUAAAGCCUUCCCUUUUGUGGUGUGGGUUCGAAUCCCAACGAGGCUA